RNAcentral lists this ribosomal RNA (433 nucleotides) under uncultured bacterium. RNAcentral's name for it is "partial 16S ribosomal RNA". It matches the Rfam family "Bacterial small subunit ribosomal RNA", at positions 29 to 507 of the family's 1533-position model. The record is from RNAcentral.
AACGAACGCUGGCGGCAUGCCUAACACAUGCAAGUCGAACGAAACGUUCGGGUCUUUUGGCGCACGGCUGCGUAAGGCGUGGGAAGCUGCCCUUGGGUAAGGAAUACCUCCCCGAAAGGGGUGCUAAUACCGGAUAAUGUCUUAGCACCAAGGAUUUAUCGCGUUGGGAUGGGCCCGCGUUGGAUUCGCUAGUUGGUAGGGUAAAAGCCUACCAAGGCGACGAUCCAGAGCUGGUCGGAGAGGAUGACAAGCCACACUGGGGCUCAGACACGGCCCAGAAUCCUACGCAAGGGAGCAGUGGGUAAUAUUGGACAAGGGGCGAAAGCCUGAUACAGCAAUGCCGGGUGAGUGAUGAAGGGCGUAGGGUUGUAAAGCUCUUUUACCCGGGAUGAUAAUGACGGUACCGGGAGAAUAAGCACCGGCUAACUCCGUG